UGAGGAAUAUUGCACAAUGGGGGCAACCCUGAUGCAGCGACGCCGCGUGGGUGAUGAAGGUUUUCGGAUCGUAAAGCCCUUUUCUGCAUGACGAGCCAAGGACGGUAGUGCAGGAAUAAGUGUCGGCUAACUACGUGCCAGCAGCCGCGGUAAAACGUAGGACACAAGCGUUAUCCGGAAUUACUGGGCGUAAAGGGCGUGCAGGCGGUUGCGUAAGUUAGGCGUGAAAGACUUCGGCUAAACCGGGGGAGGUCGUCUGAUACUGCGCAACUAGAGUAUGGUAGAGGCGUGUAGAAUUCCGGGUGUAGCAGUGAAAUGCGUAGAGAUGUGGAGGAACACCGAUGGCGAAGGCAGCCCCCUGGGCCAACACUGACGCUCAGGCACGAAAGCGUGGGGAGCAAACAGGAUUAGAUACCCCAGUAGUCCCUGAGCGGGCUGGCAAGGCGCAU
This 449-nucleotide ribosomal RNA is filed under the name uncultured bacterium. RNAcentral's name for it is "bacterial SSU rRNA". It matches the Rfam family "Bacterial small subunit ribosomal RNA", at positions 355 to 825 of the family's 1533-position model. The record is from RNAcentral.